CUGUUGAGUUAAUAGCUAUCUGCUGUUACUGUGCCCAACAUCUGAACAAUGAAGUGCCUGAACUGGGUGUUCCUUUGCUGCCUGAUACAGAUUAUUAUGGUACAAGCAAGAAAGCCUCCAAGGUGACUCUGGUGGACCACUGGUCUGUAAUGGUACAGCAGAAGGAAUUGUGUCUUUCGGCUUAAAGUGCCCACCUGGAAUUUAUACACAUAUUUCAUCAUUCUACUCGUGGAUUAGUGACAUCAUGGGAGAAGCCAGCCAAUGAAUCCUGUUUCUUCAGAUGAAUGGCAGCCAAGUGUAUGACUAUGCAGUAACUUGUGUUUUCAUGCUAUAUUAUUUUGUUUUCUGCUUUUGAUAGUACCAACAGUAGUAAUAUCAGCUAUAGUACUAGCUGCAGCAUUAUUAAUCGUAUUAUUUCCUUGAGAGAAAAUAAUAAAACUGAAUUUCUUUCACCGU
Protopterus annectens (West African lungfish) is the source of this 456-nucleotide long non-coding RNA. RefSeq lists it as uncharacterized. Lineage: Eukaryota; Metazoa; Chordata; Ceratodontiformes; Protopteridae. The transcript is spliced from 2 exons. The record is from RefSeq and is a predicted model, not a curated record.